GUAGAUAUAGUUUAACUUAAAACAUUAGAUUGUGGUUCUAAAAACAGAGGUUAAACCCCUCUUAUCCACC
RNAcentral lists this transfer RNA (70 nucleotides) under Silurus asotus (Amur catfish). RNAcentral's name for it is "tRNA-His". It matches the Rfam family "tRNA". Rfam says of the family: Transfer RNA (tRNA) molecules are approximately 80 nucleotides in length. Their secondary structure includes four short double-helical elements and three loops (D, anti-codon, and T loops). Lineage: Eukaryota; Metazoa; Chordata; Actinopteri; Siluriformes; Siluridae. The record is from RNAcentral. RNAcentral also lists the same sequence under 2 other names.